AGGGGUAUGGUAGCAAUACCAGAGACCGGCGCACGGGUGCGUAACGCGUAUGCAAUCUACCUUUUACAGAGGGAUAGCCCAGAGAAAUUUGGAUUAAUACCUCAUAGUAUUACGACCCGGCAUCGGGAUGUAAUUAAAGUCACAACGGUAAAAGAUGAGCAUGCGUCCCAUUAGCUAGAUGGUAAGGUAACGGCUUACCAUGGCAACGAUGGGUAGGGGUCCUGAGAGGGAGAUCCCCCACACUGGUACUGAGACACGGACCAGACUCCUACGGGAGGCAGCAGUGAGGAAUAUUGGACAAUGGGCGCAAGCCUGAUCCAGCCAUGCCGCGUGCAGGAUGACGGUCCUAUGGAUUGUAAACUGCUUUUGCACAGGAAGAAACAACGCUACGUGUAGCGUCUUGACGGUACUGUGAGAAUAAGGAUCGGCUAACUCCGUGCCAGCAGCCGCGGUAAUACGGAGGAUCCAAGCGUUAUCCGGAAUCAUUGGGUUUAAAGGGUCCGUAGGCGGUUUGGUAAGUCAGUGGUGAAAGCCCAUCGCUCAACGGUGGAACGGCCAUUGAUACUGCCAGACUUGAAUUAUUAGGAAGUAACUAGAAUAUGUAGUGUAGCGGUGAAAUGCUUAGAGAUUACAUG
Molecule: ribosomal RNA, 635 nt
Filed under: uncultured Bacteroidota bacterium
Lineage: Bacteria; Pseudomonadati; Bacteroidota
Description: bacterial SSU rRNA
Rfam family: Bacterial small subunit ribosomal RNA
Source: RNAcentral